UACGGAGGGGGCUAGCGUUGUUCGGAAUUACUGGGCGUAAAGCGCGCGUAGGCGGGCCAGCAAGUCAGGGGUGAAAGCCCACGGCUCAACCGUGGAAGUGCCUCUGAUACUGCGGGCCUCGAGGGAGGUAGGGGCGUGCGGAACUUCCGGUGGAGCGGUGAAAUGCGUAGAUAUCGGAAGGAACACCGGUGGCGAAAGCGGCGCGCUGGACCUCUUCUGACGCUGAGGCGCGAAAGCCAGGGGAGCAAACGGG
This 253-nucleotide ribosomal RNA is filed under the name uncultured bacterium. RNAcentral describes it as "partial 16S ribosomal RNA". It matches the Rfam family "Bacterial small subunit ribosomal RNA", at positions 524 to 776 of the family's 1533-position model. The record is from RNAcentral.